This is a long non-coding RNA of Cydia fagiglandana, 162 nucleotides long. RefSeq lists it as uncharacterized. NCBI's taxonomy places the organism in Eukaryota, Metazoa, Arthropoda, Insecta, Lepidoptera, Tortricidae. The record is from RefSeq and is a predicted model, not a curated record. The transcript has 3 exons.
CUAUUUAGGGUUGUCAAAAUUCAGGGACAAAAAUUAUCUGUGGUUGUGCACGCAAAGGGACGUCAAGUUGUGCCAACCCUAAUAAUUACUCGGAGCAAUGCCGAGUCGAACGGAGCCGAAAAAGCCCGAAUGCUCUAGUUUCCUCCCCCUCCUUAAACAUUC